Molecule: ribosomal RNA, 427 nt
Filed under: uncultured bacterium
Lineage: Bacteria
Description: bacterial SSU rRNA
Rfam family: Bacterial small subunit ribosomal RNA
Source: RNAcentral
GUGAGGAAUAUUGCGCAAUGGACGAAAGUCUGACGCAGCGACGCCGCGUGGGCGAUGAAGGCCUUCGGGUCGUAAAGCCCUUUUGGCAGGGACGAGUGAGGACGGUACCUGUCGAAUAAGUCUCGGCUAACUACGUGCCAGCAGCCGCGGUAAAACGUAGGAGGCGAGCGUUAUCCGGAUUCACUGGGCGUAAAGCGUGCGUAGGCGGUUGGGUAAGUCGGACGUGAAAGCCCCUGGCUCAACUGGGGGAGGUCGUUCGAUACUGCUUGGCUUGAGGAUGAGAGAGGAAAGCGGAAUUCCCGGUGUAGCGGUGGAAUGCGUAGAGAUCGGGAGGAACACCAGUGGCGAAAGCGGCUUUCUGGCUCAUUACUGACGCUGAGUGCACGAAAGCGUGGGGAGCAAACGGGAUUAGAAACCCUAGUAGUCC